GACGAGCGCUGGCGGCGUGCUUAACACAUGCAAGUCGAACGCUGAAGCUCAGCUUUUGUUGGGUGGAUGAGUGGCGAACGGGUGAGUAACACGUGAGUAACCUGCCUCCUUCUUUGGGAUAACGCCCGGAAACGGGUGCUAAUACUGGAUAUUCACUGGUCUUCGCAUGGGGGUUGGUGGAAAGGGUUUUUCUGGUGGGGGAUGGGCUCGCGGCCUAUCAGCUUGUUGGUGGGGUGAUGGCCUACCAAGGCUUUGACGGGUAGCCGGCCUGAGAGGGUGACCGGUCACAUUGGGACUGAGAUACGGCCCAGACUCCUACGGGAGGCAGCAGUGGGGAAUAUUGCACAAUGGGCGCAAGCCUGAUGCAGCGACGCCGCGUGAGGGAUGGAGGCCUUCGGGUUGUGAACCUCUUUCGCUCAUGGUCAAGCCGCAACAAUGGUUGUGGUGAGGGUAGUGGGUAAAGAAGCGCCGGCUAACUACGUG
This 483-nucleotide ribosomal RNA is filed under the name uncultured bacterium. RNAcentral describes it as "partial 16S ribosomal RNA". It matches the Rfam family "Bacterial small subunit ribosomal RNA", at positions 28 to 507 of the family's 1533-position model. The record is from RNAcentral.